Molecule: ribosomal RNA, 467 nt
Filed under: uncultured bacterium
Lineage: Bacteria
Description: partial 16S ribosomal RNA
Rfam family: Bacterial small subunit ribosomal RNA
Source: RNAcentral
ACGAACGCUGGCGGCGUGCUUAACACAUGCCAGUCGAACGGAAAGGCCCUGCUUUUGUGGGGUGCUCGAGUGGCGAACGGGUGAGUAACACGUGAGUAACCUGCCCUUGACUUUGGGAUAACUUCAGGAAACUGGGGCUAAUACCGGAUAGGAGCUCCUGCUGCAUGGUGGGGGUUGGAAAGUUUCGGCGGUUGGGGAUGGACUCGCGGCUUAUCAGCUUGUUGGUGGGGUAGUGGCUUACCAAGGCUUUGACGGGUAGCCGGCCUGAGAGGGUGACCGGCCACAUUGGGACUGAGAUACGGCCCAGACUCCUACGGGAGGCAGCAGUGGGGAAUAUUGCACAAUGGGCGGAAGCCUGAUGCAGCAACGCCGCGUGCGGGAUGACGGCCUUCGGGUUGUAAACCGCUUUCGCCUGCGACGAAGCGUGAGUGACGGUAAUGGGUAAAGAAGCACCGGCUAACUACGUG